This 254-nucleotide ribosomal RNA is filed under the name uncultured bacterium. Its description in RNAcentral is "partial 16S ribosomal RNA". It matches the Rfam family "Bacterial small subunit ribosomal RNA", at positions 524 to 777 of the family's 1533-position model. The record is from RNAcentral.
UACGUAGGGAGCGAGCGUUGUCCGGAUUCAUUGGGCGUAAAGAGCUCGUAGGCGGCUUGGCAAGUCGGGUGUGAAAACUCCAGCUCAACCUGGAGACGCCACCCGAUACUGCCAUGGCUAGAGUCCGGUAGGGGACCACGGAAUUCCUGGUGUAGCGGUGAAAUGCGCAGAUAUCAGGAGGAACACCGGUGGCGAAGGCGGUGGUCUGGGCCGGAACUGACGCUGAGGAGCGAAAGCGUGGGGAGCGAACAGGA